This 458-nucleotide ribosomal RNA is filed under the name uncultured Alcaligenaceae bacterium. RNAcentral's name for it is "bacterial SSU rRNA". It matches the Rfam family "Bacterial small subunit ribosomal RNA", at positions 30 to 482 of the family's 1533-position model. The record is from RNAcentral. Lineage: Bacteria; Pseudomonadati; Pseudomonadota; Betaproteobacteria; Burkholderiales; Alcaligenaceae.
AUUGAACGCUAGCGGAAUGCUUUACACAUGCAAGUCGGACGGCAGCGCGUCUUUCGGGAUGGCGGCGAGUGGCGAACGGGUGAGUAAUGUAUCGGAACGUGUCUGGUAGUGGGGGAUAACUACGCGAAAGCGUGGCUAAUACCGCAUACGACCUUUGGGUGAAAGCAGGGGACCUUCGGGCCUUGCGCUAUUGGGGUGGCCGAUAUCGGAUUAGCUUGUUGGUGGGGUAAUGGCCUACCAAGGCGAUGAUCCGUAGCUGGUUUGAGAGGACGACCAGCCACACUGGGACUGAGACACGGCCCAGACUCCUACGGGAGGCAGCAGUGGGGAAUUUUGGACAAUGGGGGCAACCCUGAUCCAGCCAUUUCGCGUGUGUGAUGAAGGCCUUCGGGUUGUAAAGCUCUUUUGGUGGGGAAGAAAUCGGACGGGUUAAUACCCUGUCUGGAUGACGUACCCGC